UGGGGAAUUUUGGACAAUGGGGGAAACCCUGAUCCAGCCAUCCCGCGUGUGCGAUGAAGGCCUUCGGGUUGUAAAGCACUUUUUGCAGGAAAGAAACGUCAUGGGUUAAUACCCCGUGAAACUGACGGUACCUGCAGAAUAAGCACCGGCUAACUACGUGCCAGCAGCCGCGGUAAUACGUAGGGUGCAAGCGUUAAUCGGAAUUACUGGGCGUAAAGCGUGCGCAGGCGGUUCGGAAAGAAAGAUGUGAAAUCCCAGAGCUCAACUUUGGAACUGCAUUUUUAACUACCGGGCUAGAGUGUGUCAGGGGGAGGUGGAAUUCCGCGUGUAGCAGUGAAAUGCGUAGAUAUGCGGAGGAACACCGAUGGCGAAGGCAGCCUCCUGGGAUAUCACUGACGCUCAUGCACGAAAGCGUGGGGAGCAAACAGG
This 429-nucleotide ribosomal RNA is filed under the name Acidobacteriota bacterium. RNAcentral's name for it is "Acidobacteria bacterium partial 16S ribosomal RNA". It matches the Rfam family "Bacterial small subunit ribosomal RNA", at positions 355 to 776 of the family's 1533-position model. Lineage: Bacteria; Pseudomonadati; Acidobacteriota. The record is from RNAcentral.